GUUGUGGGUAACGCGGACGUGGAAGAACCUCGUCUGCGGAGGAAAAGGUAGAUGUUAAAUGGUAACUACGCGCGAGGUUCUGAGGAGCCCUGGGAACAGGAAGGAGAAAAGAAUACCAAAAGUGACAACAGUUUGCCAAUCGCAGUCUUUAAUCUGAUAAAGCGGUUAUCUCGUCUUGAGUCCCAGGUGCCGAGUCAAUCCCCAUACACAGCCGCCGCCAUUGCCUCGAGUCCUUGUGUCUGACUGUCUGUUCCUGCUGCUGUAUGACACAGCACCUCGAGGCAAGGAAAUAAGAAAACUGCCUCUGAUCCAAGCAGAGAAGGUCUGCCUGUAGAUCUGCUGUAGGGCUUGUCACCAUUGGAAGCAAGAACUCCUGUAGCCUGUAAUACCAGCUGUGGGUACUACUCUCAGUGUUGGAGAUCAUCAAAAUACAAUUGGACCAGACCCUUUGGAAAUAAUUCUGUGUCUCAAAUGCCCUGUGGAGCACACACUUAAUCAGUUGAUGGCUAUGGAAUUUUCCAACAUCAGCUAAAGAGAAGGGAUAGAGUGGUGACUUCCAAGCUUCAUGCAGAACCGGACAACAGAAAUUGAGAGGGAAAUUUCUAUGACAGAAGAGAGAAAGAAGAAAAUUGCUGGAAUAAUGACCUUGAAUAGAGGAAAUGGGAUAU
Molecule: long non-coding RNA, 668 nt
Organism: Homo sapiens (human)
Lineage: Eukaryota; Metazoa; Chordata; Mammalia; Primates; Hominidae
Source: Ensembl